Triticum dicoccoides is the source of this 1882-nucleotide RNA transcript. It is a transcript of the gene named 39S ribosomal protein L18, mitochondrial-like, with no coding region annotated. The transcript is spliced from 3 exons. The record is from RefSeq and is a predicted model, not a curated record. Lineage: Eukaryota; Viridiplantae; Streptophyta; Magnoliopsida; Poales; Poaceae.
GGCCCUGUACUGGAUAAGGUGGCCUUCGGCUAAAUCCCCAUUCCUGCCAUUCGCUCUUGCCCGGCUUCUCCCCACGCUCCCAUGGCCGCCGUUUACCCCACCACGGCCGUCCUCCCCACGCGCCACUCCCCUCCUUCCUUCCUCCGGCCGCCGUCCCUGUCGUGGUCCGCCUCCAUCACCCAGCACCGCAUCCCCUUCUCACCGCGCCUCGCUCUCUCGCCGCCACCGGCGGCCAAUCGGCGGUCAUUCGUGGUCCGAGCGGCGUGGACGCGGCGGUCGCGCGGCGAGUUGGACAAGAGCCCGAACCGCAAGUCGUGGAAGCAGCGCACGGACAUGUACAUGCGCCCGUUCCUGCUCAACGUCUUCUUCUCCAAGCGCUUCGUGCACGCCAAGGUCAUGCACCGGGGCACCAGCAAGGUCAUCGCCGUCGCCACCACCAACGCCAAGGACCUCAGGACCACCCUGCCGUCCCUCAUCGACGACAACGCCUGCCGGACCAUCGGUCGCCUCAUAGCCGAGAGGUCCAUGGACGCCGACGUCUUCGCCAUGGCGUACGAGCCCAAGAAGAACGAGAGGAUCGAGGGGAAGCUCGGGAUUGUCAUCGACACCAUUAAGGAGUAUGGCAUCAUCUUUGCAUAGGCAAGUUCCAGUGUAGGAGCAGAAACAGUUUUUAUGUUGUAUUUCUGUAGUUUGAUUGAUUCAUGUAGCUGUUCUUGUUCAGCUUAUCUUAUAUUGAUGGUGAUGAUGAUCUAGUAAUAGCUUCUUCUGCUGUGCUGUUUGUCUUUUCAUAUUGGUGUUGCAAUGCUAUUUUACUUGUAAAAUUUCAUAGGAUAUCCUUGGUUAGAUUGUCCAGUGGGUAAUAUUAUAGGGAAAAUGUUCAGUUGAUAUAACACUAGUAAAGCCCAGUUGACUAAAUGCAAAUGUUGCUGGAGCUAUCCAAUUUUGUCAAGUCUAAUGUGGAUAUGAGCAGCUAAUAACAUUAACCAAAACUAUAGCGAGCAAGUUAUGGAUCUGAACUGUUUAGGAGUAACGGUUAAAUAUCAGAAAGUGCAUUAAGCCUGAGUACACGUUUUUACCAUGCUAUUGUUGUUACUCAUAUUAUAUACAAGUAUAAGGAACAUGUGGAUUUGCAAGGAAAUUAGAGAUGCACACAAGUAAUGGCUUAGUAAGGUGUUUGUCUUUCAACUUUUGUUAGUUAUCAGAAAAUUGGUGAAUGAUUUCCAGACAUUGUUGUUUAUGGUCUUCAAAUAAUAACUGAAUGAUCCUGAUGCUCUAUAAAUGUUAACUGAAUGAUUCAGGCGUUGAGAGUUUAACUGCAUGGUAAUUAUGUUCAUCUGUUGGUUAGCUGAAGUGUUGUCUCUUGUGUUCAUCAAAAUUAUGUGUGUGGAACUGGAAGAAUGCUUUUGUAUGGAACAAUACGAAAUAUUCGAAGGCUGAUAAGGCGCUCCUGUCUAUAUGAAACAAAUGUGAUUACAAUUAUCUACGAGUACCAACCAAGUCAUCACCCGUGCUGAUCCUUGAAGAAAUUCGACUUGUUUCUCCACAAGUUGCAUCAGUUGUGCACAGACACCAUCCUGAUAUGGAGCUUCCCUUCACGAAUGCUCAGAUGAAAGUACCUUACUCCUCGUGUUUAUCUUUUUCAUGGGAAAAAUGGAUCAAUGAUGUAAUUUAACGGAACGAAACUAGUCACUGCCGAGGUCAUUCGGGCAUAUGUGAGGUAUAUUGUGCUCAUAUGUUCAUAUGCUCCUCCUAGGCAUAAUUGUGCUGUCCGGCUAUGCAUCUUAAGCCUUAAGGGCAUUAAUUAUGCCUACCACAGAAUGACUGACCAUAGAUUCAUGUUCUAGAGAGAAAUGAGUUUUUGCUGCUGUGCAGUAUUUUGAAA